GGAAUAUUGGACAAUGGGCGCAAGCCUGAUCCAGCCAUGCCGCGUGUGUGAAGAAGGCCUUCGGGUUGUAAAGCACUUUUGUACGGGAAGAAAAGCCCUCGGUUAAUACCCGGGUGUCAUGACGGUACCGGAAGAAUAAGCACCGGCUAACUUCGUGCCAGCAGCCGAGGUAAUACGAAGGGUGCAAGCGUUACUCGGAAUUACUGGGCGUAAAGCGUGCGUAGGUGGUUUGUUAAGUCUGAUGUGAAAGCCCUGGGCUCAACCUGGGAAUUGCAUUGGAUACUGGCGGACUAGAGUGCGGUAGAGGGUGGUGGAAUUCCCGGUGUAGCAGUGAAAUGCGUAGAGAUCGGGAGGAACAUCUGUGGCGAAGGCGGCCACCUGGACCAGCACUGACACUGAGGCACGAAAGCGUGGGGAGCAAAC
RNAcentral lists this ribosomal RNA (423 nucleotides) under uncultured bacterium. RNAcentral's name for it is "bacterial SSU rRNA". It matches the Rfam family "Bacterial small subunit ribosomal RNA", at positions 358 to 773 of the family's 1533-position model. The record is from RNAcentral.